Molecule: ribosomal RNA, 253 nt
Filed under: uncultured bacterium
Lineage: Bacteria
Description: partial 16S ribosomal RNA
Rfam family: Bacterial small subunit ribosomal RNA
Source: RNAcentral
UACGGAGGGUGCAAGCGUUGUUCGGAUUUACUGGGCGUAAAGCGUGUCUAGGUGGGCUUGUAAGUCAGAUGUGAAAUCCCCCGGCUUAACUGGGGAGGGUCAUUUGAAACUACAGGUCUUGAGUUUCGGGGAGGUGGGUGGAAUUCCCAGUGUAGAGGUGAAAUUCGUAGAGAUUGGGAGGAACAUCGGAGGCGAAAGCGGCUCACUAACCGAACACUGACACUGACACACGAAAGCGUGGGUAGCAAACAGG